GGGGAUGUGGCUCAGUGGUAGAGCGCCCGCUUUGCACGAUCAGUAUCUGGUCAACAACUGUGUUGCGGGAGGCCCAGGUUUCGAUCACCUGCUUCUCCA
Non-coding RNA from Plenodomus tracheiphilus IPT5, 99 nucleotides. NCBI's taxonomy places the organism in Eukaryota, Fungi, Ascomycota, Dothideomycetes, Pleosporales, Leptosphaeriaceae. The record is from the annotation of a GenBank genome assembly.